Molecule: small nucleolar RNA, 88 nt
Filed under: Cyphellophora attinorum
Lineage: Eukaryota; Fungi; Ascomycota; Eurotiomycetes; Chaetothyriales; Cyphellophoraceae
Source: RNAcentral
CCACAAUGAUGAUCAAAGUAAUACAAUAAUCAGUUCUGCUUCUGAUACCCCUUGAAGAAGACCAUACCAGCUUACCAUUGUCUGAAAU